AAUAGUCAGUAAAAAUCGAGGCUAUGUCGGAUGUGGCUGUCUUUACGGUCCCGUCAGGGUGUUUCAGCGAUGCAAUAUGGUGACGCGCCGGUCUUGGUCUCAGCAUGCGGGCUAGGAGGGUGUCCAUUUUGUUCGCCUUCUCAUAGUAGGUCCGUCUGGACCAGAGAAGGCUGCGGGUCGCGUCGUCCAGGAGAAGCUCCCGUACCGCCCGCCUAGCCGUGUUUAGCUGAUCCAGCGUGGACGCAGUGGGAGAGGUUUUGUGACAUUGUUCCCUCGCGCGCAGGGCC
Pelobates cultripes (western spadefoot toad) is the source of this 287-nucleotide non-coding RNA. The record is from the annotation of a GenBank genome assembly. Lineage: Eukaryota; Metazoa; Chordata; Amphibia; Anura; Pelobatidae.